RNAcentral lists this ribosomal RNA (253 nucleotides) under uncultured prokaryote. Its description in RNAcentral is "partial 16S ribosomal RNA". It matches the Rfam family "Bacterial small subunit ribosomal RNA", at positions 524 to 776 of the family's 1533-position model. The record is from RNAcentral.
AACGUAGGUGGCAAGCGUUAUCCGGAUUUACUGGGCGUAAAGGGUGUGCAGGCGGGAGAACAAGUGGUGUAUGAAAUAACCAGGCUUAACCUGGUGGGGGUAUGCCAGACUGUUCUUCUUGAGGACGAGAGAGGGGCGUGGAAUUCCGGGUGUAGUGGUGAAAUGCGUAGAGAUCCGGAGGAACCCCAGAGGCGAAGGCGGCGCCCGGGCUCGUACCUGACGCUCAGACACGUCAGCAUGGGGAGCGAACGGG